GAUGAACGCUAGCGAUAGGCUUAACACAUGCAAGUCGAGGGGCAGCACAAGGUAGCUUGCUAUCUGGGUGGCGACCGGCGCACGGGUGCGUAACGCGUAUGCAACUUGCCCUAUACAGGAGGAUAACCCGUCGAAAGACGGACUAAUACUGCGUAUGCUCACAACUUGGCAUCAAGUGGUGAGGAAAGAAAUUCGGUAUAGGAUAGGCAUGCGUCCCAUUAGCUUGUUGGUGAGGUAACGGCUCACCAAGGCAACGAUGGGUAGGGGAACUGAGAGGUUUAUCCCCCACACUGGUACUGAGACACGGACCAGACUCCUACGGGAGGCAGCAGUGAGGAAUAUUGGUCAAUGGGCGCGAGCCUGAACCAGCCAAGUCGCGUGAAGGAUGACUGUCUUAUGGAUUGUAAACUUCUUUUAUACGGGAAUAACAAGAGUCACGUGUGACUCCCUGCAUGCACCGUAUGAAUAAGCAUCGGCUAACUCCGUG
This 487-nucleotide ribosomal RNA is filed under the name uncultured bacterium. Its description in RNAcentral is "partial 16S ribosomal RNA". It matches the Rfam family "Bacterial small subunit ribosomal RNA", at positions 28 to 507 of the family's 1533-position model. The record is from RNAcentral.